Molecule: non-coding RNA, 5913 nt
Organism: Solanum lycopersicum (tomato)
Lineage: Eukaryota; Viridiplantae; Streptophyta; Magnoliopsida; Solanales; Solanaceae
Source: RefSeq, a predicted model, not a curated record
AUAGGAAUAAAUCUCUAUAAGUAAAAAUUCUUCUAACACUUGAAAGAAUAUAAUUUUUCCAUAAAAUAUUUGUCCACCCAAGUAUUGAGAGAGUUUAUAAGUGAACUUGGGAUCACUGGAAGACCGCAGAAUUGUGGUAUAGUUCGUGGACUAGCUUGUGGAUUUUCUUGAAGGUUCUUGCUUGUCGACUAUCUUGUGGAUUAACUUGAAGGUAUUUUCUCACGCUUCAAGAGUUUUCCAACACUAGUAUGAAGAGGGUGGCAUCCGUAGUAGCAGUAGAUAUUCAUAUGUUGGGAAGAUUGACAAGAUCAUUGUUGGUCCAUUUUAAAAAAAGAGCAUUUGUUGAUGGUGAAGUUCCAGAGGAAGUAGUGAGCAUGGAGAAGAAUAUUGUUGAAAUGUGUCAAGGUCCACCAUUGGCUGAAAGUUUAUUGGGAGGCCUCUUACGCAACAAGGAAAAACAUGAAUGGUAGGAAAUUCGUGACGAAAACUCCCUUGUUGCAGGUCAAUAUAAUAACUGGUAAAAUAGCUUAAAGAAAAUUGUAAAACUCAGCUAUGAUUAUCUACCAUCUCCACAUCUGAAAAAGUGUUUCACUUAAUAUGCCAUUUUCCCAAGAGAUUUUGUGUUUAAAAAGGACCAACUAAUCCAAUUCUGGAUGGCAGAAGGUUUUCUCUCCCAUGUCAAGAGACCACUGUGAUAGAAGACGUUUGGAAAAUUCCUUGCUGCAACUAUAUAUAACAUAUAUUUGGAAGAUCACUGUGAUGAAAACCCGUCGAAUUCUGGAUGGCAGAAGAGUUUUUCAACUUUUAUUGCAAAAUUCCUUGCUGCAAAAUAAUAGCUAGAUGAGCACAAGAAUGUAACACACUAUAAGAUACACGAUCUUGUGCAUGAUUUGGCUAGAGGUAUCUUAUAAUCUAAAGUAUUUGAUCCUAAAAGUAUUGGAAGAGAAAAACUUUCUCAAGUUUGAUACUUUGGAUGUGACUCACCAAGAGGGAUCGAAUAGAAAAGUUAAAUGAGCCAGAACAUUUGUGCACACUGUUCUGGAGAAGCAAUUAUGUAUCUGAAGAUAUGCAAUUGAGCUUUAAGUUCUUGAGAGUUAUAAAUUUAUUCAGUUCAGGAAUUGAGGUGUUGUCAGCAAAAAUUAGCAAGCUAAUAUACUUGAGAUAUCGUUGAUCUUUCCGACCCCAUGAUCGAAGUCUUGCACAAAUCAUUUUCCAAGAUCUACAAUGCAAGCAUUUACAAUCAAUAGUUGUUUCACUCAGGAGGCUUCCAGAAGAAAUGAAAAAUAUGAUAAUUUUGCAAAACAUAUAUUGCAAUUAUCAUUAAAAAUCAAAGUUUUGUUUAGCAUUUUGGGGAUCAAGAUCUAUUGAUCAGUUUGAGAUACCACUAAAUAAGGGGCAUAUGACAAUACUUCAGACACUAUCGGUUUUCUACGUAGGUUUAGAGAAAGGUAGUCAAAUACAAGAAUUAGGUCAUUUGAAAAACAUAGAGGUGAAUUAAUGAUCAAGCAUCUCCAAUUAUUUGUAAAUGAAGAAGAGGAUCGAAAGCAUAUUUACAUGAGAAACCAAAUAUCUACGAGCUGGUGUAUAAUCAGAAUGUUGUGAGAUCAAUGAUGAGCAUUUGUUGGAUGUUCUUCAACCACAUCCUAACUUGAAAACAUAGAAAUGGAGAACUAUUUGGGGACUAGUUUUACUUCAUGGUUUGGUGAUCACUUGCUACCAAAUUUGGUCGAGGGUAAAUUAAAUGGUUGCAAGAGGUGCAAAGAAAUUUCAUCGCUUGGACAACUGAAGUUCCUUUGACAUCUUUAGCUGAUAUGAUUCCCUGAAUUGAAAUGCAUCAAAACUGGAUUUUACUAUGUUGAGAUUAAUGAUAAUGGAUCAGAAACAAUGAUGGCAAUAUCCAAGUAUUCCUAUCAUUGAAAGAACUAGUGUUGGAUGAUAUGCAUAGCCUUAUUGAGUGGAAGAGAGUUGUUUGAUUAACUCCAAAGUCUUGAGUUAUGUUAUUAUGAUGUUUUGUCCAAAUAUAGUAUUUAGUGUGGGGGAUGUGUGCUAGGUUUCAAGCAACUCUUGAAGGCAAUAAAGGGAAUCCUAAGAUACUUGAACGGAACUUAGGACCUAGUCCUAUUUUAUCCUUCUAGGAAUUCUUUGGAUUUAAUUGGAUAUGUUGAUGUUGAUUAUGUGGUUUUUCUUGUUGGCAAGAAAAGCACCUCAGGCAUGGAACAUUUUGCGGGGACAUCACUGAGCUUAUGGGGAAUGAAAAAGCAAAAUUUAGUAGCCUUGUUCGCUACAGAAGUUGAGCAUGUGAUUGGUGCUUCAUGUUGUGCUCAACUCUUGUGGAUUGAGCAACAAUUUGAAGACUUUGGUGUCUUUACAGAUACUAUUCCUCUUAUGUGUGAUAAAACAAGUGCAAUGAACAUGUCAAAGAAUCUUGUUCAUCACUAGAGGACCAAGCACGCUGAUGUGAGACAUCAUUUCCUUAGAGACAAUUUUGACAAAGAAAAUGUGGUAAUGACAUUCUGUAAAAUGAAGGACCAAGUGGCUGACAUCUUCACCAAGGCACUAAGCAAGGAACACUCUAUCAAGAACAUACUAAGCCUAGGAUGCACAAGCUAAACUAACUUCACAACAAAUUUUCAAGCAAUCUCCACUUUGACUAUGCUAAGGAGGGCAGAAGGUUGCAAGAAUCUAUUUCCCAAACACUUUCUACAAUUAGUGAGAACAAGGAGAAGAAGAAGAAGUAAAAGGAUGAGAAAGAAAAGAAGGAAAAGGACGGGAAGAAGAAGCAGAAGCAGAAGAAGAAGGAUAAGAAGAAGGAGAAGGAGCACGAGAAGGAAAAGGAUAAGAAUAAUUAUUUACAAUGAUUACACAAUUGCAGAAGAGAAAAGGACGAUCACUACUUAUCCAAUUACUCAAAACUUAAUUUUGCCCAACUUGAUUUUGUAGGUGUAUUUCCAAAGAAUAAGGACUCGUUCUACGUAAUGUCUCAACCCAAUAAGUGUUGGACUGAUGAGAAAGGGGUCAUGUGGCAACAUAUAAUACAGAAAAGAGAUAUGUGGCGUUGUUGUCCUCAUCAUUUCUAGUUUAUUGUUGAUACACCUUCUCAGAUACAAAUAUAACGGCUCCUGUCAAAAGAAAAGUUGAUACAUCUGACACAACAAAGAUCAAGAAGAAGGCUAGGUCUAAAACUGAUAGGAAGAGGAAUGAAAAUACCACUCUUUAGAAGAUCUUGCAUCUGAAGCAGUUUCUUCUUCUCAAGUAGAAGUAGAAUUUUCUCAAAAAAAAUAUGAAGAAAGAGAAGUAGUGGAGGAAGAAGAGGAAAAACAAAAAGAAGUUGAGGAAGAACAACGGAAAGCUAUAUAAGUAUUUAAUAGAGAAGUAGUUGGGGAUUCUCAAGUAGCUGAGCCACAAGAAGAAAAAAUAAAUGAAGUCGAGAAAGAAAAAGAGGAAAUUAUAGAAGUAGUUCAUAAAGAAAUAGUUGAGGCACAAGAACAAAAAAUAAAUGAAGUUGAAGAAGAACAAGAACUUCAUGAAGGUUUCAAUGCUACUGGUGAUGAUGGAAAUAAAAUCAUCAAUGUAGACACUUUCGUUGUGCAUCUGCAGCCUAAUGUUAAUGGUGAUAGCAUUAUUAGGUCAGUCCUGGUAAAACCUUUCAUCAAAUUCAGGGAUAUCCUCAAGAGAAAUCAUUUGAAAGAUUUUUUGAGAAAUAGUUGUUUCGGUCUUUUUCUUGAUUUACCCAUCGAUACAACUCCAUGUUUUCAAAUGACCAUUGUGUAUGAACUUCUAAAAAGAAGGUUCAUUUUUGAAAAUCCCAAAAAGAAGGAUGAGAUUGUGAUUAAUUAUUGUGGAAUGCCAGUUUUAUUUGGCAAAAGAGAGUUUUCCAUAUUUACAGGGUUAAAAGGUCAUCCUCCUCUUGAGCCCGUCCCUGAAUGCAUUGUUAAAAAAGAACCACGGAAAAGAAAGAAAGAAGUAGUAGAAGCAGGACAACAGUCACUGCAAACUGAGGAGCAAAACCUGAUGUCCCUUGUUGGCAAAAGAUUAAAAAAUUCUGACUUAGUAAAUUUUUUGGAACACGAGGAUACACCAAGGAAGCACAAUGAGACAUUGUUCUUACUUUGGUUUACACAUAAUAUACUUUUGCUGAAAGAUCUCUACAACAACAUACAGUUAAAAUGGGUGACUUUCUAUCAGGAUAUUGAGGCUUUCAGCAACUACCUUGGGGUCAUGAUAGUUUUGAAUUAAACUCUCAAAUAUUUGUUGGAACCUUUAGGAGAAAAGACCGGUAACUUGUUUGGCUUUUCAUGGUCUUUCAUGGCUUGGAAAUUUGAAGUUAUUCCUUAUUUGACCUAUCAAGUAAUUGCAGAAGAACAAAGAUUAUCUCCAAGGAUAAUGAGAUGGUUGAGAUCAAGAACAAAAAAUAUCAAAGAUGGGCAUAUUCCAGAUCUUUUUAACCAUCCUCUUGAUGCAGUUGUGCAUCCAUGAAUUAUUCCAACAGAAGAGGAAUUGUAAAUGCGGUAUCUAAUUUCUCUAGGGUUGCUUGAAACCAUUUUUCAUCAUGUUGUGGAUAGAGCUAAAAUGGAGUUGGUUGGACCAACAACCAUCAAAAGAGACAAAGUUGUUAAUGUAGUUGUUAAUGAAUUAGUUUUUUUUAUGGUGUUGGUGUUGGUGUUGGUGCUGAUGUUGGUAUUGCUGCUGGCGUUUGUGUUGGUGUUGGUGCUGGUGCUGGUGCUGGUGUUGGUGUUGGUGCUGGACAAGACCUAGGGGCUACCUCUUGUAGAAGAUGUUGUGGAUUUCUCUGUGAGAAGUGCAAGAAACAUAAUGAAGAUUUUAUCAUGUAUCUUCAAAUAUUGAGUGAAGUUGUCAAUGAAUUUUAAAAAAAAGAGGGGGUCAAGGGAAUUCUAUCAAAGAAUGUUCGGCAUCCAUAUACUCCACAAGCCAAGAGGAGGAAAGAAUCAUUUGCCAAGGCAAUACAAAAUUUGAAGAAGAAAAAGAUGUUUGGAGAAUUUCCAAGGGUCGUAAAAGAUGAAGUGAAGGAGUACAAAAGUUGAAUAUUUAUAUGCAUGUGACUGUAGCGGAAAGAACUAAAGUGUUGAGUCUGACGAGUGCAAAGGAUAUUCGAAUAAAAUACGGCAUGCAUGUUUUUACAAGAGAAGAUUUCAGGAAUAUGAAAAGCAUAAAAGUUUGGUGAGAAGACUGGUAUAUUGAUGAAAUCCUUAACCUCAUGCAUCAGAGGCAUGAGACAUAUUCAGAUUACUAUGAUCCCAGAGAUAGAAUCCUGGAUCUCAACUUCUAUACCAACUUCCAAAAAAAAAAAUAUUGAACUGCGUGAUGAGACAACAACUAUUGGUGGCAGAAGUAUUAAACAGUUAGUAGAUGAGUUUGUAUGAGAUGAAGAUAUGAUUGACUAUGUCAGGGUCAUUAGGCCAUAUCCUGGAGGCAUGGAUUGGAUUGAUGCAAAAAGAAUUUUGCCAGUCAUGAACAUGGAUGGUACCCAUUUUGUGACUCUCGAGAUUCUCCUGCAUGAGGGUCGCAUGAAUGUUUAUGACUGCCAAUUGAUGCUUACGGAACAUGCCAAGUUUUUGACAUACAUACAACUUGUCUUCGAGUUGCUGCCUAAAUUGUUGAAGCAGAGUGGAAUAAUGGAACAUUUUCUAGAAAAGUUUCUCAAUGAACCAUGGGAAUUUACAGGUCGAAUGGAUCCCAUGGUUAAAAAUGAAUCUGGAGCGGCGUGUGGGUCAUAUUCUCUUGCAUUCAUUGAGCAUUUGGUUAGGAGGACAGAGAUUAAACAUCCCAAAACCCUGUUGUGUGACAAACUAUUUGAACAAAUGCAAUAUGUAUGGGCUCAUGGGAUAAUAUCUCGAAGCUUAAAGCCUUAAAUAUAAUGUGUUUGCAAUUAAAGAAAACAUUUUAUUUUUUCAA